AUGUCCAUGCCCUAUCCACGAGUAAUCGGGUCGUGUUUGGGCGCUGCCCAUGGACGCAAAAGCAUAUCCAAACCCUAUUCAUUCAGAUCUGACGGUCCACCCGCAAUCCUCGCCAGAACAAAACCACCACGCCGCUUCGUCCGGAUCGAAAAGCCUAGCCAUUCUCUUCGAUCUGUCCGCCCUUUCUCCCCGUCGGGGCGACUAACGCCGGCCCGGCCGCCGGCCCUGGUCGUCGGCAUCGGCUGCCACCACGCGGCGCCAUGCCUUUCCCUUCCCUUUCCUUUCUCUUUUCUGUUACAGAGGGAGACUACGAUGCGAGUUCCUCCUCUACUCUCAUGGCCAUGCCCAACAGCGGGGAGAAAACCUCACCGGCCUCCGGCGACGGCGUCUAGCCGCCGCACCGAGCGGGCCGCGCGGGUCCCCUUUCGUUUUAUCUCCCGCCAACCACCUCUCUGUUCUAGAAAGAGACGCGGGCCGAGCCUUUCUCUGCACUCCUUGCGACCGAUGCAGCGGCGGAGCAGACGGCGGAGCAUGCGCCGUUGCCAUCCCCCUCGCCGGUUAAAAAACGCACCAAAGUGGCUAUCUGGUAUGCAGCACAAGGAACACCAGUGCAAACGUAGUCAGGUGGAAUUUGACACGUCAUACGGCCCUGCUUGGCACUGCAUUGUUGGGACAAGCUUUGGCUCCUAUGUUACUCACACAUUGGGAGGUUUCUUAUACUUCUCUGUUGACAAGGUCCACAUUCUUCUCUUCAGAACUGCUGUUGAGCCAUCAGGCCAUCUGCGCCAAGACCAGCAGGCGCCGGAUGCCAAAGUAGCCGCAAGCUACACGAUGCGAGCCAACGAGCAGCGCAGGUCGGUGCGAACGGCCACCGCACUUGAUGCGGUGACCAACGCCUGGGUCAUCCGAUGCAGCCGAUCUUAA
This 924-nucleotide ribosomal RNA is filed under the name Triticum aestivum (bread wheat). RNAcentral's name for it is "partial small subunit ribosomal RNA". Lineage: Eukaryota; Viridiplantae; Streptophyta; Magnoliopsida; Poales; Poaceae. The record is from RNAcentral.